This 2170-nucleotide long non-coding RNA is filed under the name Hordeum vulgare. RNAcentral's name for it is "long non-coding RNA (HVUL_LNC000022)". Lineage: Eukaryota; Viridiplantae; Streptophyta; Magnoliopsida; Poales; Poaceae. The record is from RNAcentral.
AUGAAUCUUAGUAGGGUGUUUUUUCUUUCAUGAAAGAUAACCUUCGAUGCAACUCGUGGUUGUAAUAGUCAUUGUCAAUGAAAGAGUAGGUAACUUUGCCACUGAUCUGUCGUGCAAUCAACUACUACUAAUGAGUGGAGUAUUAAGUUAACUUACCUGUAAGAAGGACCCAUUGGGUGCUCUGAUCCUCAUCUUAUUUUUGUCAGCGUCAUUGCGCACCAGCUGGAACGUCUCGGACUGCCCCGGCAUGGAGGCUGUGGCCACCACAUUAACGCCGGCCACGGUCACGAAUUGGUUCUUGAACACCUUAAAGUUGAAGGUGUUCUCGUCGAUACGCCAGAGCUUGAAGGUCUCCCAGUGGGAGGCCGAGAGCCGGUUGGCGACAAGUGCCCCGCCGCCCCCAUUCUCGGCAGCCACAAACCCCUUAUGUGCCAUGGACUGGAACUGCACACUCGUGCCAUCCUGAUUCAUCGAUCCAAACCGGAAGAAAUUAAGCAAGAUGGGAUAAACAUGACAUUACAACUAGACGAAGGAAACAAGUAGGUGAAUUACUUACGAGGAGGUCUUUGUUGGGGAUGCCAUCGAAGAGGGAGGGCAGCCCCUUGACGAUGGUCACUGCAAACACGGAGGGGUCAUCGUCGCCCCAUGUCGUGCUCUCGCCGAAGUUGGCCGUCAAUGAACCAUCCUUGUUUGCCUGUGCUGCCAGCAAUGGAACAGAUUGAUGACUCAUACUAGUUUGGUUAUGUCUAGCCGAUCUCUCAAAAUUUAGCCACCUUAUAUGCGUCCUUAUACUUUAGAGGAGUAUAUUUGCUCCUCUAAAAAAAUGUGGUUUUCAACCGGUCCCGUAUAUUUUGCGGAUCAAACAAUUUAUUCGACUUACGCAUUUCAACAAGCACUUCUAUGACAUGUGAGUGGCAAUUUAAUUGCAUCUGCACAAUGUUCUGAGACAAGACGAGGCCUAAUUGAAAUAGGGAUCUCGUCAAUCUUUUAAAUAGUGGAUUCCUUUAGCCACAACACGUUCAAAAUGGGGCUAAAUCGGAGCUAAAUGAGGCUAUAGCGAAAAAUUGUACAUACAUGAAUUCCUUUAGCGACAACACAUUCAAAAAGUUAUAGCGGGCUAUUUAAAACUAUGAAUCUAGUGCGCUAUGUGCGGCCGGGGGAGGGGGGCCAGGAGAUCCUGCCGAGCUCGGCGACUGCAUGCUGCCGGAGUUGCCUCCGGGAGCAUCCUGAGGUAAGGUCGAUCGUUGUGCUGCUCGACCUCAUAGUACGCGGUGGAAGCCGGCGUUCAUGGUUGUGCACAAGCCUGACCGCCCGAUCGAGGACCUCCUCCUCCACUACUAUAGCAGUACACCAUGAACCCAGAUAUCGUGGUGCUCCUACAAGAAUCCUGUUGCUGCUCAUGGCGCCCUUACUAUGGACGGGACGCCAUCGGCUAACGAGGCCCUACAUAGCGGGCGAAGCACCAAGAAGGGGUAGUAGCGAGAGUAGUAGUCGAGCAGGGCACCAACAAGGUCGCCGACUUGCCAGGUCGACAUGACGGGAGUGGCUGAGUAUAUUUAUUAACAAACCUAAACGUUUUGAGGAAUCGGCUAGGUGGAGUUUAAAUUAGUAAAACGAAAUUUUUACUCCACUAAACGAUCGAUUAUAAGUGAUCAUCUAGAGAUGGCCUUACAUCGUGAAAAGAUAAGUAACUUUGUACUAUGCAACUUGUGGUUGGAAUAGUCUUUCAUAGCCAAUGAAUAAAAGAUAGGUACUCACUUAGCUUGCUAGCUACUGCAUGCAUGGCCCAUGGAUCCCUCGUGCCAUUAUUAGUACGUCCUCAGAAUGAGGACAACUACUACUACUGAGUGGAGAAUAAAGUUAAGUUACCUGCACGAAGGACCCAUUAGGUGCUUUGAUCCUCAUCAUAUUCUUGUUUGGCACCAGCUUAAACGUCUCCGAUGGACCCGGCGUGGAGGCCGUGGCCACCACAUUAACGCCGACGACGGUCACAGACUGGUUGUUGAACACUUUGAGGUUGAAGGUGUUCUGGUCGAUCCGCCACAGCUUGAAGGUCUCCCAACCGGAGGCUGAGGCCCGGUUGGCGACCAGUGCCGCCCCGCCACCGUUCUCGGCAGCCACGAACGCGUUCUGUGUCGCGGACCUGAGUUGUAGCUGCGUGCCAUCCUGC